UCGGCGCCGUUAAGGCGACAGCGCCAUCAGGAGUCUGAGAUUUACUUGAUUUAUAGAUUUGUUAGGUCUUUUUAAGAUAUGAUGACUUUCAUUUGCCAUACAGCGAAACCGAUCAUAUGAGACAACCAACCAAUUGUUAUUUAACUCUAUUUUUAAGACGACCGGACUUCUUUAAGUUUGCGAAGAGGUUUGAGCUCUUACUCAAGUCUUCUCCAAUUCGAAAGAUUUCAGUUUCUACUUUACAAAGGUAUAGUGUGGUGAAACAGGCCAUGUCUGUCCUGGGAUAAAGUGGAGGAGUGCACAGAAGCUGUUUACAAGAGGGGAACGAGCACACUCGUUUCCUAAGGAAGCUGAGAUCCUUCAAUGUGUGCAGCAAAAUGUUGGAGCUUUUCCUACAGUUUGUUGUGCUAAGCGCAGCUUACCUCACUGUGGUCUGCUGGAGGAGCAGCAUCGGAGUUGGUGACACCAACAGACUGCAUAAACUGAUCAGGACGGCAGGCUCUGUGAUUGGCUGCAAGUUGGACACUAUUCUAGCUGUGGUGGAGAGGAGAUCACUGCACAAACUGUGCGAUGGGUCAUGGGUAAUCCUGACCACCUUCUGCAUCACUUACUGGACAACAGCAGAGCACCCCAUCUAACAAACUCAGCUGGCACGAAGAAAAUACAUGAAAUCUAUUAUACCACACGCUGUCAUCCUAAUAAUACAGUAUACCUUUCAGGCAGACUGCAUCUGCUAGAUAAUUUAUUAUUAUUUCAAAUUUUAGCUUAAGCCUCUCAAUAUUCAGCUUAACACAAUAUCUGUACUCCUUCAUUAUGCAGACUGCAGAAAUCUCUCAUCUGAGGAAGGUUUCCAUCUUUCAUCACAUUUUUGCUAUAUUCAGUGAAGGCUGUCACUUUUUUCUGUUCCCUUUUCAAAGAGGAGCAGAAAGCAAGAUGCCUCUAUAUAACUUGUAUUAAAUAAUAUUUCACUGAAAA
This is a non-coding RNA of Maylandia zebra (zebra mbuna), 975 nucleotides long. NCBI's taxonomy places the organism in Eukaryota, Metazoa, Chordata, Actinopteri, Cichliformes, Cichlidae. The record is from RefSeq and is a predicted model, not a curated record.